This is a non-coding RNA of Pelobates cultripes (western spadefoot toad), 214 nucleotides long. NCBI's taxonomy places the organism in Eukaryota, Metazoa, Chordata, Amphibia, Anura, Pelobatidae. The record is from the annotation of a GenBank genome assembly.
UUUUGGCAAAAAAGUACUAAAUUUGCUAUUAACUGCUACUUUUGAUUUCUGAUGGAACAGGCACCCACCAGCACAUUGGGUAAAAGAUGUCCCUAUGCAUAAGCUAGAGCAAGAGUAGGCAGCCUUCAGCACUCCACAAGUUGUGGACUACAUCUUCCAUGAUGCUUUGCCAGCAUCAUGACUCUAAGAACACUAUGGGAGAUGUACAGUCAUG